This 215-nucleotide ribosomal RNA is filed under the name uncultured Thiobacillus sp. RNAcentral describes it as "partial 16S ribosomal RNA". It matches the Rfam family "Bacterial small subunit ribosomal RNA", at positions 1169 to 1382 of the family's 1533-position model. Lineage: Bacteria; Pseudomonadati; Pseudomonadota; Betaproteobacteria; Nitrosomonadales; Thiobacillaceae. The record is from RNAcentral.
GGAAGUGGGGAUGACGUCAAGUCCUCAUGGCCCUUAUGGGUAGGGCUUCACACGUCAUACAAUGGUCGGUACAGAGGGUUGCCAACCCGCGAGGGGGAGCUAAUCCCACAAAGCCGAUCGUAGUCCGGAUUGUUCUCUGGCAACUCGAGAGCAUGAAGUCGGAAUCGCUAGUAAUCGCAGGUCAGCAUACUGCGGUGAAUACGUUCCCGGGUCUU